CCUACGGGAGGCAGCAGUGGGGAAUAUUGGACAAUGGGCGCAAGCCUGAUCCAGCCAUACCGCGUGUGUGAAGAAGGCCUUUUGGUUGUAAAGCACUUUAAGCGAGGAGGAGGCUCUUGAGGAUAAUACCCUUGAUGAGUGGACGUUACUCGCAGAAUAAGCACCGGCUAACUCUGUGCCAGCAGCCGCGGUAAUACAGAGGGUGCGAGCGUUAAUCGGAAUUACUGGGCGUAAAGCGCGCGUAGGCGGCUUGUUAAGUCGGAUGUGAAAUCCCCGGGCUCAACCUGGGCACUGCAUUCGAUACUGGCAAGCUAGAGUAUGGGAGAGGAAGGUAGAAUUCCAGGUGUAGCGGUGAAAUGCGUAGAGAUCUGGAGGAAUACCGAUGGCGAAGGCAGCCUUCUGGCCUAAUACUGACGCUGAGUGNGAGANAUGGAGCAACAGAUAGAUACCUACGUAGUCAUGCGUAACGAUGUCACUAGCGUCGGGUACGUGUAGUCUUAGUUGG
RNAcentral lists this ribosomal RNA (505 nucleotides) under uncultured bacterium. Its description in RNAcentral is "bacterial SSU rRNA". It matches the Rfam family "Bacterial small subunit ribosomal RNA", at positions 338 to 846 of the family's 1533-position model. The record is from RNAcentral.